AGCGAGGCCGGCUGCGCAUGUGAAACUCGCGUGCUCGGCGACCCGUCUCUUUGUAUGUAGCCCGUUUUUUGGGCUCCCGGCGUUCUCUUGCGUUCCGUCUGCAUUUCGAGACGGCACCGCUGCACUACUGGACUACAGCAAGCUGAUAGCAUCCGGUGGAGCUUCGUACGGCAACGACUGCUGCUUACCUGGUGCCCCAACUUUGUAUGAAUGUAGAAGCCCGGAACGAGUAUUUAUAUAGAGCAAAAUAAACAUUUCAUCAUUUCA
This 267-nucleotide long non-coding RNA is filed under the name Dermacentor andersoni. RNAcentral's name for it is "uncharacterized LOC126518724". The record is from RNAcentral. Lineage: Eukaryota; Metazoa; Arthropoda; Arachnida; Ixodida; Ixodidae.